Molecule: ribosomal RNA, 468 nt
Filed under: uncultured bacterium
Lineage: Bacteria
Description: partial 16S ribosomal RNA
Rfam family: Bacterial small subunit ribosomal RNA
Source: RNAcentral
GACGAACGCUGGCGGCGUGCCUAACACAUGCAAGUCGAACGGUAAGGCCCUGCUUUUGUAGGGUUCUCGAGUGGCGAAAGGGUGAGUAUCACGUGAGUAACCUGCCCUUUACUUUGGGAUACCUCCAGUAAACUCGGGUUAAUACCGGAUAUAAGCACUUGAUGCAUGGUGGGGGUGGGUAAGUUACGGCGGUUCGGGAUGGACUGGCGGUCUAUCAGUUUGUUGGUGGGGUAGUGGCUUACCAAGGCUCUGAGGGGUUGCCGGCCUGAGAGGGUGACCGGCCACAUUGGGACUGAGAUACGGCCCAGACUCCUACGGGAGGCAGCAGUGGGGAAUAUUGCACAAUGGGCGGAAGCCUGAUGCAGCAACGCCGCGUGCGGGAUGACGGCCUUCGGGUUAUAAACCGCUUUCGCCUGUGACGAAGCGUGAGUGACGGUAAUGGGUAAAGAAGCACCGGCUAACUACGUG